UCCAGAUUGUUUCAUCAACUACAUCGUAAGAAACUAAUCUUUUGUGAUUGUGUUGUUUUCACAUUUGUAGGAAAUGCCUCAUGUCUUCCGAAAGCCUAAACACUGUCAUGCAAAUCAAACCCCUUCAUAAAUGAUUAGAGGUGUUCUCAGGAGAAGUGAGGAUCUGGGUUCAGGUUCAGAUCAAACCAUGUUCUCUACACUUCUACUCUUGCUGUUAACAGCUACAUCUGGUAUUAAAUGUAUUGAACUGGUUCAGCCUGCAGUCAUACUGGUUAAGCCUGGAGAAUCAUUUUCAGUCCCCUGUAAGAUCACUGGAUACUCAGCCACUAGUCAAUGUACUAACUGGAUACGACAAUCAGGACAAAAACUGAAAUGGAUCGGCUGGUACUGCAGCUCCAGUAAUACUGGCAGCAGCGAUUCACUAAAGAACAAGAUCCGUUUCUCAGCUGAUGCCUCCACCAACACUGUGACUUUACAUGGGCAAUUUCAGACUGAGGACACAGCUGUGUGAUGAACA
Non-coding RNA from Tachysurus fulvidraco (yellow catfish), 517 nucleotides. NCBI's taxonomy places the organism in Eukaryota, Metazoa, Chordata, Actinopteri, Siluriformes, Bagridae. The record is from the annotation of a RefSeq genome assembly.